UACGUAGGGUCCGAGCGUUGUCCGGAAUUACUGGGCGUAAAGAGCUCGUAGGUGGUUUGUCGCGUUGUCCGUGAAAACUCACAGCUCAACUGUGGGCGUGCGGGCGAUACGGGCAGACUGGAGUACUGCAGGGGAGACUGGAAUUCCUGGUGUAGCGGUGGAAUGCGCAGAUAUCAGGAGGAACACCGGUGGCGAAGGCGGGUCUCUGGGCCGAUACUGACGCUGAGGAGCGAAAGCGUGGGGAGCGAACAG
Molecule: ribosomal RNA, 252 nt
Filed under: uncultured prokaryote
Description: partial 16S ribosomal RNA
Rfam family: Bacterial small subunit ribosomal RNA
Source: RNAcentral